This 759-nucleotide ribosomal RNA is filed under the name uncultured Neisseriaceae bacterium. RNAcentral describes it as "bacterial SSU rRNA". It matches the Rfam family "Bacterial small subunit ribosomal RNA", at positions 28 to 776 of the family's 1533-position model. Lineage: Bacteria; Pseudomonadati; Pseudomonadota; Betaproteobacteria; Neisseriales; Neisseriaceae. The record is from RNAcentral.
AUUGAACGCUGGCGGCAUGCUUUACACAUGCAAGUCGGACGGCAGCAUAGAAGAGCUUGCUCUUUUGAUGGCGAGUGGCGAACGGGUGAGUAAUGCAUCGGAACGUACCGAGUAGUGGGGGAUAACUGUCCGAAAGGAUGGCUAAUACCGCAUAUUCUCUGAGGAGGAAAGCAGGGGACCUUAGGGCCUUGCGCUAUUUGAGCGGCCGAUGUCUGAUUAGCUAGUUGGUGGGGUAAGAGCCCACCAAGGCGACGAUCAGUAGCGGGUCUGAGAGGAUGAUCCGCCACACUGGGACUGAGACACGGCCCAGACUCCUACGGGAGGCGGCAGUGGGGAAUUUUGGACAAUGGGCGCAAGCCUGAUCCAGCCAUGCCGCGUGUAUGAAGAAGGCCUUCGGGUUGUAAAGUACUUUUGUCAGGGAAGAAAAGCCUGGGGAUAACACCCUCAGGUCAUGACGGUACCUGAAGAAUAAGCACCGGCUAACUACGUGCCAGCAGCCGCGGUAAUACGUAGGGUGCGAGCGUUAAUCGGAAUUACUGGGCGUAAAGCGAGCGCAGACGGUUAUUUAAGCAAGAUGUGAAAGCCCCGGGCUCAACCUGGGAACUGCGUUUUGAACUGGGUAACUAGAGUGUGUCAGAGGGGGGUAGAAUUCCACGUGUAGCAGUGAAAUGCGUAGAGAUGUGGAGGAAUACCGAUGGCGAAGGCAGCCCCCUGGGAUAACACUGACGUUCAUGCUCGAAAGCGUGGGUAGCAAACAGG